CGGGCUGCCCACGGCGCUUGCUUCCGUCGCCAUGUCACCGCCGAGAUGCAUCAACACAUUAUUUGCAAACAAAUUGUUUCUACUCUUGCUCAGUGCAUGAUUUAAUUACAAGGAAUGAUCUGGACUUGUUUAAUAAAUUUACCAAUUAUCUACUGCCAGUUUCAUUACCCGAACUGCACUUGUUUGAAUUACUGGAAUUUUCUCAAUGAACUGGACUAGGUUGCAUUACUGGAACUGAACUGGCUUGAUCAAUUAGCUAAUUGCCGAAAUAUAGAGUGCAUCUACACAAAGAUAAAUUGUUGCUGCAUGUCUAUUGUAAUUCUCAGUUAGUGUGCUUUAUCUGUCAAUGCUGUAAAUUAUUUCUUCAAAGUACCAGAAGUGUGUUCACUAUACUGUUUAGUUUCUUCUUUAAAUGCUCACAUUACAUGCUGCUGUAGUUUCUUCAUCUUUUUACUACUAAUGAAAAGCUCUGUUUCUAUGAUGCAAUGUUGUAAUUAAAUCAAUCCUGCAUCCUCCAGUUAAAAAUUAAUGCAGCAAGGAAUUUCAGUUGUAUCACUAAACUUGGUUAAUAGAGAUUCUUGAUAAAUGUCACACUUCAUCAAUGACGCCUUACGCUGAGCACAAUUUCGAGUUUAUUACCCUUCACUAUUAUCAGGAACUUUAGCAUAUGACAGUCCCAGGUUCAGAGUUGCAGUUUGACAAUUUUGUUUUCUUUGCAGAGGAGAAGAACUGAUGCUGAUCAAGGGCAGAGGAGAUGUGCUGCUGAUGGCAGGUGAGGUGCUAUUGCAGAUCUCGAGGGAGAUUUCCUCUCCAUCCUUGCUUCGGGUUUCGCCAUGGCCCGCAACGGCAGCCUGGAGCGCCUCCAGAAUGAGUAGUACUACGUGGUCUACAAGGAGCUACCGGUGCUGAUUGUGGAUCGCCCGCUUGCCCAGCAACAUGUUUGAGUGGUGUAGUAGUAGGUUGUCCUUAUGUUAUAUGCAAAUAACGGGACUGCACUUUUGUCUCUUGGCUGCAAUGGUGUGGAAAUGACAGAGUGACAGAAAUCCCAGUGGCAAGGUAGACUGAAGACUUUUACUCAUUUGGACUUCAGUUGCAAUCCUUUAUUACGUACCUUCUGAAUCAUCUCUACUAUCUCGUCAAUCUGCUCCAGUUUCUGCAAGUUGGGAUGCAGGAGCCGCUGGUCCUGAUUGUGGCUCGACCACUUGCCUAGCGACACGUUGCAGUGGCGUAGUUGUGCUAUUCCUGGGAGCUGUCACAGGCUGCUUGAUCAUCCUAGCCACGGAUAGCUGUGUCGACUCCAUGUGUUUGGGUGAUUCUUGAAAACUAUUUGGCUUCAAGAAUACCAAUCAAGCGGAACUAUUCAAAUGGCCUCUCUUUUUUCGCCGAGGUUUAGUGGCAAUGCAGACUGGAUUAUGAAGUUACUAGAUCGUUGGUGAUCGAUCGUUGAAUCACAGUUCCUCACCAGAAUAUUGUAUCAGUUAAUCAAACCAUAUAGAAUUUUCAGGAGUUAAGGUGGUGAUACCUGGUGGGAGUGUUUUGGUCGAAGACUCCGAGUAGAAAUGGGCUCUAAUCUUUUGAUCACAGGUAAUUCUCUCUUACCAAAUAAUCGCCACUUAACUUGUGCAGUGCUUACUGUAAUAAUUAGAACAGCAGCAAGGUAGCACUUGAUGACGAGACUAUGUAUCUUGAUGUGCUGUUUUCUUUUGCAUCACCCUUUUGUUUGACAGUGCCAUCACUUGCUGUCAACUUGUUUAUUUUUUUUAAAUCCUGAAAAUUGUAUGCACAUGUAUGUCACUAUGUGUCUUCUUGGUAGUUCAAGUAUAUCUUGGUGUUUAUUUUCCUGAUAACUUGAAAACUAUGGUGCAGUUGUAAUUGCAUAUACAUAGGUGACUGCCAUUUCGAGGAAACAAAGGUGCUACCAUGUUGGUAGAUAGAUGCAUGUCUGUUGUCAUGCGUGUCUAGUCCAAGUCUUCCUCUUAAAUCUAUUUAUUUCUUUGCUAAAUAUGCUUUAUUAAAGUUCCGCUGAUGUUUUGUUCCUGAUGGAGGAGAAAUAACAAGGCAUCAGCUGGAGUGUUGAGGCUGAUGCAUCACUCGACAAGGAAGAACAGGGGGCAAGGAGACGUCGCCAUCAGGCAGCACCUAGCCUCCUUGAAUAUUAUAUUUGUGAUGUAUGUAGUUGCAAAGGAUGUGUUUUGCUGUAAUAUUCGCCGUACCAUGUUGCAUGAGUUGUGCUGUAUGGGUCUUUAGCUUUGUUUUAUUUGCUUUGUGAUGUGAAUGUCCCUAAAAGAUGCUGAUAUAUAUUUGCUUUUAUUGUUGAUUGUUCGAUAUGUGACCUGAAUGCUUGAGAAAUAAAAUAGGUCUUGGCAAAUUUUCGAUUU
This is a long non-coding RNA of Lolium rigidum, 2378 nucleotides long. RefSeq lists it as uncharacterized. The transcript has 9 exons. Lineage: Eukaryota; Viridiplantae; Streptophyta; Magnoliopsida; Poales; Poaceae. The record is from RefSeq and is a predicted model, not a curated record.